RNAcentral lists this ribosomal RNA (363 nucleotides) under uncultured bacterium. RNAcentral describes it as "bacterial SSU rRNA". It matches the Rfam family "Bacterial small subunit ribosomal RNA", at positions 152 to 507 of the family's 1533-position model. The record is from RNAcentral.
CGAAAGUUGCGCUAAUACCGCAUAUUCUGUGAGCAGGAAAGCGAGGGGACCGCAAGGCCUUGCGCUCUUUGAGCGGCCGAUGUCAGAUUAGCUAGUUGGUGAGGUAAGGCUUACCAAGGCGACGAUCUGUAGGCGGGUCUGAGAGGAUGAUCCGCCACACUGGAACUGAGACACGGUCCAGACUCCGUACGGGAGGCAGCAGGUGGGGUAAUUUUGGACAAUGGGGCAACCCUGAUCCAGCCAUGCCGCGUGAGUGAAGAAGGCCUUCGGGUUGUAAAGCUCUUUCGGCCGGGAAGAAAUCGCAUGGGUGAAUACCCUGUGUGGAUGACGGUACCGGAACAAGAAGCACCGGCUAACUACGUG